This 346-nucleotide unclassified non-coding RNA is filed under the name soil metagenome. Its description in RNAcentral is "partial contains 5.8S ribosomal RNA, internal transcribed spacer 2, and large subunit ribosomal RNA". The stretch from base 1 to 120 matches the Rfam family "5.8S ribosomal RNA", at positions 35 to 154 of the family's 154-position model. The record is from RNAcentral.
GAUGAAGAACGUAGUGAAAUGCGAUACGUAAUGUGAAUUGCAGAAUUCAGUGAAUCAUCGAGUCUUUGAACGCACAUUGCGCCCCCUGGUAUUCCGGGGGGCAUGCCUGUCCGAGCGUCAUUGCUGCCCUCAAGCACGGCUUGUGUGUUGGGCCUCCGUCCUCCUCCCGGGGGACGGGCCCGAAAGGCAGCGGCGGCACCGCGUCCGGUCCUCGAGCGUAUGGGGCUUCGUCACCCGCUCUUGUAGGCCCGGCCGGCGCUUGCCGACACAUCAAUCUUUUUUCCAGGUUGACCUCGGAUCAGGUAGGGAUACCCGCUGAACUUAAGCAUAUCAAUAAGCCGGAGGA